This 417-nucleotide ribosomal RNA is filed under the name Pseudomonas sp. RNAcentral describes it as "bacterial SSU rRNA". It matches the Rfam family "Bacterial small subunit ribosomal RNA", at positions 27 to 445 of the family's 1533-position model. The record is from RNAcentral. Lineage: Bacteria; Pseudomonadati; Pseudomonadota; Gammaproteobacteria; Pseudomonadales; Pseudomonadaceae.
GAUUGAACGCUGGCGGCAGGCCUAACACAUGCAAGUCGAGCGGUAGAGAGGUGCUUGCACCUCUUGAGAGCGGCGGACGGGUGAGUAAUGCCUAGGAAUCUGCCUGGUAGUGGGGGAUAACGCUCGGAAACGGACGCUAAUACCGCAUACGUCCUACGGGAGAAAGCAGGGGACCUUCGGGCCUUGCGCUAUCAGAUGAGCCUAGGUCGGAUUAGCUAGUUGGUGAGGUAAUGGCUCACCAAGGCGACGAUCCGUAACUGGUCUGAGAGGAUGAUCAGUCACACUGGAACUGAGACACGGUCCAGACUCCUACGGGAGGCAGCAGUGGGGAAUAUUGGACNUAUGGGCGAAAGCCUGAUCCAGCCAUGCCGCGUGUGUGAAGAAGGUCUUCGGAUUGUAAAGCACUUUAAGUUGGGA